Non-coding RNA from Rattus norvegicus (Norway rat), 63 nucleotides. The record is from Rfam. NCBI's taxonomy places the organism in Eukaryota, Metazoa, Chordata, Mammalia, Rodentia, Muridae.
GGGGAUUUAGCUCAGUGGUAGAGCACUUGCCUAGCAAGCACAAGGCCCUGGCUUCAGUCCCCA